UGAGGGAUAUUGGUCAAUGGGCGCAAGCCUGAACCAGCGACGCCGCGUGGGUGAAGAAGGUCUUCGGAUCGUAAAGCCCUUUUCCACUGAAGAGGAAGGACGGUAGGUGGGGAAGAAGUCUCGGCUAACUACGUGCCAGCAGCCGCGGUAAAACGUAGGAGACAAGCGUUAUCCGGAGUUACUGGGCGUAACGGGCGUGCAGGUGGCGUCUUAAGUCUGUUGUGAAAGCGCCUGGCUUAACCGGGCGAGGCCAAUGGAGACUGAGAGGCUGGAGGACGGCGGAGGGGUGUGGAAUUCCGGGUGUAGUGGUGAAAUGCGUAGAGAUCCGGAGGAACACCAGAGGCGAAGGCGGCACUCUAAGCCGUACCUGACACUGAGACGCGACAGCACGGGGAGCAAACG
Molecule: ribosomal RNA, 402 nt
Filed under: uncultured bacterium
Lineage: Bacteria
Description: bacterial SSU rRNA
Rfam family: Bacterial small subunit ribosomal RNA
Source: RNAcentral